CAAUCGUCUUGCGGCUCAUUUAUUAACACCAGUCAAAGUAAUGUAACGAAAUAAUACGAAAUAAAAUAAAAACUUUCAACAACGGAUCUCUUGGCUCUCGCAUCGAUGAAGAACGCAGCGAAAUGUGAUAAGUAAUGUGAAUUGCAGAAUUCAGUGAAUCAUCGAAUCUUUGAACGCACCUUGCGCUCCCUGGUAUUCCGGGGAGCAUGUCUGUUUGAGUGUCAUGAACUCCUCAACCCAUCAGUUUCUUGUAGAUUGAAUGGUGUUUGGAUUUUGAAUGUUGCUGGUCUUUCGAGACGUAGCUCGUUCGUAAUGUAUUAGCAUCUCUAAUUCGAACUCGGAUUGACUCAGUGUAAUAGACUAUUCGCUGAGGACACUUUUAUUAGUGGCCGAAUGAGAUAAUUGUAGACGCUUCUAAUCCCUAUAGUCAACUUUGUAUUAGACCUCAGAUCAGGCAGGAUUACCCGCUGAACUUAA
Molecule: ribosomal RNA, 477 nt
Filed under: uncultured fungus
Lineage: Eukaryota; Fungi
Description: eukaryotic LSU rRNA
Rfam family: 5.8S ribosomal RNA (bases 71-224)
Source: RNAcentral